AGUGAACGCUGGCGGUAGGCCUAACACAUGCAAGUCGAACGGCAGCACAGUAAGAGCUUGCUCUUACGGGUGGCGAGUGGCGGACGGGUGAGGAAUACAUCGGAAUCUACUUUUUCGUGGGGGAUAACGUAGGGAAACUUACGCUAAUACCGCAUACGACCUACGGGUGAAAGCAGGGGAUCUUCGGACCUUGCGCGAUUGAAUGAGCCGAUGUCGGAUUAGCUAGUUGGCGGGGUAAAGGCCCACCAAGGCGACGAUCCGUAGCUGGUCUGAGAGGAUGAGCAGCCACACUGGAACUGAGACACGGUCCAGACUCCUACGGGAGGCAGCAGUGGGGAAUAUUGGACAAUGGGCGCAAGCCUGAUCCAGCCAUACCGCGUGGGUGAAGAAGGCCUUCGGGUUGUAAAGCCCUUUUGUUGGGAAAGAAAAGCAGCAGGUUAAUACCCCGCUGUUCUGACGGUACCCAAAGAAUAAGCACCGGCUAUCUUCGUG
Molecule: ribosomal RNA, 492 nt
Filed under: uncultured bacterium
Lineage: Bacteria
Description: partial 16S ribosomal RNA
Rfam family: Bacterial small subunit ribosomal RNA
Source: RNAcentral